CCUCGAGACUCUUUGACUGUCAGUUUGUGGCAGAUGGACAGCUGCUGCAAUGAACCCUUUGCCUGCUUCUUCCCAGGUGUGAUCUGUCUCCCCGGUAUGUGGCAGACACAGUCUGAGGUUUCAUACACAGGGACAGACUCAAAAUCCUGGAUAAUAGAGGAUUUUUACAAGAUUGGUACCAGAGAACACCUGAUCCUGAAGCUGGAGCUCAGGGAUGGUGUCCAGUCUAGUGGUGCCUCCUCCUCGGCUCAGCCCUGAACUUCAGAUGAUCUGCUUCUGUGAGCCUGGCUGUCAGUGUCCGAGCCUUCCCCCUUUCUGAGUAUAGCUUUACCAUUUUUGUCUCCAUUUUCCUGUGAUGCUGGCCUCACAGAUCGUUCUUAUAAGAGACCUACUCACUUUGAACCCCUAUCUUGGGCUUCUAGAGCAG
This 427-nucleotide long non-coding RNA is filed under the name Cricetulus griseus (Chinese hamster). RNAcentral's name for it is "lncRNA (ENSCGRG00015039862.1)". The record is from RNAcentral. Lineage: Eukaryota; Metazoa; Chordata; Mammalia; Rodentia; Cricetidae.